RNAcentral lists this ribosomal RNA (207 nucleotides) under uncultured bacterium. Its description in RNAcentral is "partial 16S ribosomal RNA". It matches the Rfam family "Bacterial small subunit ribosomal RNA", at positions 568 to 774 of the family's 1533-position model. The record is from RNAcentral.
UGCGUAGGUGGCGUGGUAAGUCGGGUGUGAAAUUUCGGAGCUUAACUCCGAAACUGCAUUCGAUACUGCCGUGCUUGAGGACUGGAGAGGAGACUGGAAUUUACGGUGUAGCAGUGAAAUGCGUAGAGAUCGUAAGGAAGACCAGUGGCGAAGGCGGGUCUCUGGACAGUUCCUGACACUGAGGCACGAAGGCUAGGGGAGCAAACG